Passer domesticus (house sparrow) is the source of this 4418-nucleotide long non-coding RNA. RefSeq lists it as uncharacterized. The transcript is spliced from 3 exons. The record is from RefSeq and is a predicted model, not a curated record. Lineage: Eukaryota; Metazoa; Chordata; Aves; Passeriformes; Passeridae.
UGGCAAUAUGUUUCUAAGCUUCAGAGAUCCACCAAAGAAAAAUAAUUUCCUCUUGUGGACAAAAGAUGAACUCUUCUGUAAGGGUUUCCUGGCAUCAAAUUGCACAGAGGGUGCAAUUUAAAGCAAGAAAUGACGAGAGAUCCCAGAGCCUCAGCCAUUGCCCUUAAACUUCAUUAGAACUGAUGAAUCUCCACAAGUUUCUUCCACUUUGUCGAAUAUAAUUCCAGACUAAGAGGAGAUUUGAUGGACUGUAAGACCUUUUCUUGUGAGGAACCAAGCUGUGCUCCUGCAGAAAUUCAACUCCUUUGACCAGCAGAGAAGCAAAGGCGAGACUGAUUACAUGGAAAUUUCCUCUUUUCAGGUAGUGGGAACCCCGUUUUGGAGGUUCUUACCCUGAUGGUCUCUUUUGGGCAAUGCUCAUGUCCUCCAGUUGGAAUGGGACUGUAUCUAUACACAUGAAUUGAGACAUGUGUCUCCAUUUACUUUGUUUUCUGCUCCUUUAAUCCACUGGGCAAAAAUAAAUACACCCCACAACCAGUCCCCAGCAUUUCUCAGGUGACUGCACCCCACUGAGUUGUGAUAACCUUUGCUUACGUACUUGCAUAGACUCCAAAAAGCCUCGCAGCCACAAAUCUGGGAGCUGAGCAAAGAAAUUUUAUUCUAAUGGCUGUGCAAUGGAAGUUCUUUCAGCAAUGCCCCUGGUGAGGUUAGAUGAAUUCUAUGCUCUCUUUGUGCUAACACAAAUUACUACCUGUAGUGUUUGAUGGGAGAGCAUUUGUUUGGCAGCUGACAAGUGUCUCAUCUCUCCCUUUAUUCUAGUUUGGGGUGGAAUUUGUGAAUGUUUUUUUCAAUUUCAUAUAGAAUGUGCUGAACCUGCCAUAAUAAAAAUUUAUAGGUUAGUGAUUACUGAGGUUUCCUUCUCUCACAAAUAGACAUUAUUAUUCUUCACAUACAAGUAAGCAUAUUCACUUGUGGCAGCAUUUUAUAAAAUGUUCAUGAUAACCACAGACCUGUAAUUGUCCUUAAUCAUUUGUUGAUUCAGAAACAUCAUUUGCUACUGCAUUGCUUCACCUACUCAGAUGUUUUCUGCUGGCACAUCUUGGUUCAGGUGUUUGAAGGGUUAGUGACUGAGGAAGUUUGUGCUCUGCCAAAGCUGCAUGGGAUGGUUGCUUGGUAACAAUACUUGUGGCAUAAAAAGCAUUGCGUCAGGCACAUGCCUGUUCUACCUCUUUAUAGGGGACAGGGAAGAAUUAUAGAGAAGAUAUAUUUUAUUUAAGGAGCCUAGGAGAUCUAGAAGAAUUGCUGCCUGAGAGACAAAGUUGAAAAGGGAAUGCUUUGAAACCAAUAUAUCAUUGGAGACUGCCUUCAGUAAACCACUGCAGAAUUAAAUUAAAUUCCAUUGGAACUCUCUAGAUAGCUGUCAUGGUAAAAUAACCUGCUUCCAGCUGCUUGCUGAAAAUCUCACCCCUGCAAGGCAGCCAGCUGCUUUGGGGAACCAUUUGUGCAUAAGGUCUUCCACAUUUUGGCCUCAGAAGGCCUUCCAAAACAUUUAAACUCCAAGCCAGACCACAUGUUGCUGUCUGCUGCUGUGGCAGUCACCAGGCACUGCCCAGCCUGCUCUCACAAGGGCAGACACAGCACCACACAGCAGCCUGAGUGAGUGCUUGGGGAGAGCUUCUCCACAACUCCCACUGCUCCCAUGACCCACAGACUGGCCAAAGCAGUACCUGCUGAAGAGAUUAAGCUUUAUUAAAUUGCUCUCAGGGCUGGAUGGGAUCUGUAUUAUUUCCUUCUCAUCUUCUCCACUGUUUACUAGCAGGCUUAAUCCUGUGUCUGUGCACUUGUCAAGCUAGCAAAGUUCAAUUCUUUAGUAAUUAAUAAACACUAAAGGGGCAGAAGUACCCAGACAGAUUGAAGGGGUAUUUUGCCUGCCAGAGAUCAUAGGUUACUACCAUGGCUGUCAAAAUGCAGUUCGGAAAACAACAAACAUCUAUGAAGAAUCUGUGAAUACCUUUACAGUUUACCUUACCUUAUCAGCUCUACUCGUUUUGGAUGGGCAGAGAGGUAUGCUGGUCCCAAAGAGUAAAGAUUACAUGAGCUUGGAAGAAAAUGUGUUUUGCUAAAGAACCACUAAACUGAGAUGGGAAGAGACCUCCAGAAAUUGUCUAGUCCAAUCCCAUCACUCAGAGUGUCAACUAGAACAUGCUGUCCAGCACAUUGUCCAGCCCUUAUUUCACAGGAACUCUAAUCCAUAGCUUUUACUCUUUUCAAGCCUCUCUUGAGUCCUCAGAAGUUCACCCUGACCUAUAACAUUGAUGCCUCAGGUUUUAGCUAUUGUAUUUUUCAGGUUCUGUGCUGCUUUAGUGUGUAGUUCUGAGCUUCAUAUUGAGGGAUGGUAAGCUCUCUUCACAGAGUAGGGAGACAAAACAAUUCCUUCUCUAGCUGGGGACCAAGGACAAAUUAUCCAAAUUUCAGGCCCAAGAGCAUAAACAAUGUGAACACAAGAGAAAAGAAAAGAAAAAGAAAAGAAAAAAAAAAAAAAAAAAAAGUCUUCAUAAGCUGAAGCUGAAAUUGGACAAUUUACUCCAAUAUGCAAAUGGACCAGAACUUAUAAAAGUGUGAGACCCUGUGACCCCUCAUCCAUUUUGUGACAUUCUGGGUUCAUCUUGGGUGUAGCCCUGGCUGGGCUCUUUUGCUGUCCAAGGUGUAUCUAUUGAGCCCUUCUAAUAAAUACCUACUUUAUUCUUUAACUCUGCUUUAACUUUAACCUUUUUUAUUCUUUAAGUCUGCCUAGCGUCUAUUCUAGGUCAGCCUUCACAAGGCAUCACAUAAAGCCAGAUGUGGCAAUGUCAAAAGGAAGAGAUAGGGUUUUCUAGCCAAACUCCCUGUUCAUUACAGUCAGAGAUGUUUGUCUAUUAAUUGUGGCAUCAAGUCCAAUAACCUCUGGCUGAUAAGAGCAAGUCUUUCAAGAUGACAUUUUAAUCUUCACUCUAAAACUCUGAAUGACAGAGAAGCUAAAAAACCCCUUGGACAAAUUACUCUGAUGAUUAAUUGCCCCUUCUAUUAAUAAUAAUUUUUAAAAGACAGUAUUUGCAUUUUUUCAUGAAUAUGAUAAGUGUGUCUGCUAGAUUAAAGAGACUUCUAUUUCUGUGGUUUUUCCCCCAGAUAGAUAUUUAUGCACCAUGAUAUUUAUAUUUUUAUAUGCUCCUUGCUGAUACAUUCAUAGCAGCCAUAGCAUAAUGUUCCACACCAUUUUAAUAAUCAUCCAAUCACUGUUUUGCUCUGCUACUAUGGAUUUGAUCAAAUAGAUUUUAUAUGAUCCAUCACAGUGUAUUCUAUAAAGAACUGAAAGGAAAGUAAGUACUGGUCAGCUACUGUGAAGUGAGGAAAAAGAUCUAACCCUUGAAAUGGAAGUUUGUCAUCAAAUCUUCUGCCUUCUACAUUUUGUUGUCGUUAAAUGGAAACUUAAUCCUGAGCACCAAAUGAUUUAAAAUAAACGGCUGUUGAGCACUGUAGAGUCAGGAGAUUGUGUAGUGCUUGUGUGCUCAUCUUUGCUUGAAUUGUUUCACUUUUUGUUGCUAACCCAGUUUAAUCCAGCAUUACUCAUGUUUUAUACUUGCAGAACCUGGAUAAAAUGUGUCUGGGGAUAAGUGUAUUCUCUCCAGAGAAAGGAGCCAUGCAAGCAGAGCCAAGAAUCCAUCAUACCUUAGCACCUGCCACUCCCCUUUUUCCUAACUCCCUCCCUGUGCCAAAAUACUUCAGUCACAUCAAUAGAAUCCUGCAAAAGUAGGCCCUGGAUAUAUAUUAAAGUUGUGACAGCAGACUUCCUGACAUGGCCUGCCCCUUCCUUCUAAAUCAGACUGCAGAUUUUUGGCACCAGUGUGAAGCCCGCUUUUAGAGAGCUAGGAGCUUUAUAGAUUAACAACAGUAAUUUAUUCCUUCUGGAAAAACCACCAGGUGUAGAACACCAGAUAUCUGAAUUCUUCAUAAAUUAGCAUCUUCCAAAUAAUGCUGAAAUUGUGAUAACCUCUCCAAUUCCUUACUUAUUUGAAUACAAGACCUACAUACUUGUAUGUAUAUCUAAAAUAUGCAUAUAUUUUUCAUCUGCACAUAUAAACAUUUUUAUCAGUAUGUUACUGAUGAUAUAUCUUACUAUCAUACUGCUCCCUUCUCUUUGUGUAUUUUUCAGUAUUUUGCCCUGCAACAUUUGUAAAAUAAUCCGACCUUGUUUCAAGGAUAGAGCUCUUGGUUUAGCAGAGCUAAACUGGCAGUAGCAGAAAACCAAGAGCAGUUGAGCCCAUGCUGUUCACUAAGGCACUGACCCAGGACUAACACAGGCCAAGGCUGGUACAGAACUUUACCAUCCCCAUGAGAGUUUUGUAGCUGUACCUGCGUCAGCUGCCUGGUGGGGAGGAGUU